CCCUGAUGUUAGCGGCGGACGGGUGAGUAACACGUGGGUAACCUGCCUGUAAGACUGGGAUAACUCCGGGAAACCGGGGCUAAUACCGGAUGCUUGUUUGAACCGCAUGGUUCAAACAUAAAAGGUGGCUUCGGCUACCACUUACAGAUGGACCCGCGGCGCAUUAGCUGGUUGGUGAGGUAACGGCUCACCAAGGCAACGAUGCGUAGCCGACCUGAGAGGGUGAUCGGCCACACUGGGACUGAGACACGGCCCAGACUCCUACGGGAGGCAGCAGUAGGGAAUCUUCCGCAAUGGACGAAAGUCUGACGGAGCAACGCCGCGUGAGUGAUGAAGGUUUUCGGAUCGUAAAGCUCUGUUGUUAGGGAAGAACAAGUACCGUUCGAAUAGGGCGGUACCUUGACGGUACCUAACCAGAAAGCCACGGCUAACUACGUGCCAGCAGCCGCGGUAAUACGUAGGUGGCAAGCGUUGUCCGGAAUUAUUGGGCGUAAAGGGCUCGCAGGCGGUUUCUUAAGUCUGAUGUGAAAGCCCCCGGCUCAACCGGGGAGGGUCAUUGGAAACUGGGGAACUUGAGUGCAGAAGAGGAGAGUGGAAUUCCACGUGUAGCGGUGAAAUGCGUAGAGAUGUGGAGGAACACCAGUGGCGAAGGCGACUCUCUGGUCUGUAACUGACGCUGAGGAGCGAAAGCGUGGGGAGCGAACAGGAUUAGAUACCCUGGUAGUCCACGCCGUAAACGAUGAGUGCUAAGUGUUAGGGGUUUCCGCCCCUUAGUGCUGCAGCUAACGCAUUAAGCACUCCGCCUGGGGAGUACGGUCGCAAGACUGAAACUCAAAGGAAUUGACGGGGC
This 850-nucleotide ribosomal RNA is filed under the name Bacillus subtilis. Its description in RNAcentral is "bacterial SSU rRNA". It matches the Rfam family "Bacterial small subunit ribosomal RNA", at positions 84 to 919 of the family's 1533-position model. Lineage: Bacteria; Bacillati; Bacillota; Bacilli; Caryophanales; Bacillaceae. The record is from RNAcentral.